UACGUAGGGUGCAAGCGUUAAUCGGAAUUACUGGGCGUAAAGCGUGCGCAGGCGGUUUUGUAAGCCAGAUGUGAAAAGCCCCCGGGCGUCAACCUACGGGAACGUAGCGUUUGGUAACGUAACAAGACUAGAGUGUGUCAGAGGGGGGUGGGGAAUUACCGUCCGUGUAGCAGUGAAAUAGCGUAGAGAUGCGGAGGAAC
This 200-nucleotide ribosomal RNA is filed under the name uncultured bacterium. RNAcentral's name for it is "partial 16S ribosomal RNA". It matches the Rfam family "Bacterial small subunit ribosomal RNA", at positions 524 to 707 of the family's 1533-position model. The record is from RNAcentral.